UCAAGAGAAGCUUCAAGUGGAAACCGAGGCACUGUCGUGGUUCGAGGCCUAUCAAAUGACAAUGACUAGUCCUUCUUUUAUCUUGUCUUAGCUGACAUAAAAUCACUGUUAAAUUGUUUUCCACACACUUUUGUAUCUUUUUCUCAACAGUCAGCGAAUCAUACUGUUCAUGUGUUGGCUCGGAGUCAAUUUUUCUGUCUAAUAGUAGAGAAUGGUUGUGAUUCCCUCAGUAUAUAUAGCAUAAAAAUACUCUCUCAUAGCAUAGGAGGAUCUGUUAUAUAUGAAUCUGCCAAUGGUUUUUGUACAUGCUGUGGAUUUGUUGCUGUAAUGAAUUUGGCUAAAUAUGUACGGUGUUAUAUCAUAAAGUAUUAUGGUUUGUGCUUCAAUUGUGGUAUAAAGUUGGUGUUAUUUCUUCA
Ipomoea nil (Japanese morning glory) is the source of this 416-nucleotide long non-coding RNA. RefSeq lists it as uncharacterized. The transcript is spliced from 4 exons. The record is from RefSeq and is a predicted model, not a curated record. NCBI's taxonomy places the organism in Eukaryota, Viridiplantae, Streptophyta, Magnoliopsida, Solanales, Convolvulaceae.